RNAcentral lists this ribosomal RNA (435 nucleotides) under uncultured bacterium. RNAcentral describes it as "partial 16S ribosomal RNA". It matches the Rfam family "Bacterial small subunit ribosomal RNA", at positions 29 to 507 of the family's 1533-position model. The record is from RNAcentral.
AGCGAACGCUGGCGGCAGGCUUAACACAUGCAAGUCGAGCGGGAGUAGCAAUACGUCUGCGGCAGACGGGUGAGUAACGCGGGGGAACGUACCUUUUGGUUCGGACCAAGACAGGGAAACUUGUACUAAUACCGGAAAAGCCCUUACGGGCAAAGAUUUAUCGCGGGAGGAGCGGGCGUCGCCUGAUUUGCUAGUUGGUGAGGUAACGGCUCACCAAUGGGACGGUAAGUAACUGGUCUGGGAGAAACAUCAGCCACAUUGAGAGUGAGAAACGGCCCAAACUCCUACGCGAGGCAGCAAUGGGUGAUAUUGGACAGUGGGGGCAACCCUGAUCCAGUCAUGCCGCGUGAGUGAUGUAGGCCCGAGGGUUGUAAAGCUCUUUUGUGCGGGAAGAUAAUGACGGUACCGUAAGAAUAAGCCCCGGCUAACUUCGUG